ACAGGCGGUGCAAUCGAUCCCCUCGCUUGUUGUGCCAACAACACAUGAGAGUACGCGCGCCCUAUAUUAUUGUGGGCAAACCGUUCCCCAGCUGAACAAUCUGGUAAUAACCGAGGAGCAUAUAAGCCAGGCUAAAAUGCUCAAUAUCAGUGUUGGACAACUCCUCGAGAUCGAGCCCAUGUCUCCUCUUAGAGAGGAGGAAAUAAAACGGAAAUAUGUCCGGGGCCAACCUUUGGUCAAGCCCGAGGAGGUCAAGAACCUCCCAACGAGAAUGCAUGAAUUGCAUUGGUGGUACAUGAACAUUACCAAGAUUUCCAAUCGAGAGUCCCUCAUGGUGAAUGUCAAGGAGGAGCAUUACUUCCAUGAGAAAGCUCUGUCCGUUGAGUAUUCAGAACUAUUUCAGUUAUACAAUCAAGACGCACUCGACAAAUCUCUCGUCAGUUGCUAUUGUCUGAUGAAGAUGUAUGAAAUGAAAAAAUCUGGACGCUAUGGCAUUGGGUUCAUUGACCCAAAUACCGUUAAUGAACACACAUGGAAUAUUCCAAGUUGUCGAGCAAGUUUAGAGAAAAGCAUGCUAGAGUUCUUCAAGCGCCUCAAUACCAAUGAAGAUAUACUACUUCCUUACAACUUCCUUUACCACUGGAUCUUGUUAGUCAUUAAAGUUGAUAAAGGAACAGUUGAAGUACUGGACUCACUACUUAAGGAAGAAAGUGACUUCGCGAUCUUGAAGGGGAUACUCGACAGGGCUUGGGCAAAGUUCAUCAAGGUGACUCCGGGCAAGUGGAAAAAAAAGUUGUAUUGGUGGCGACCCAAGGCACUGAAGCAGGAGCCGGGGACUGAUCUGUGUGCAUACUAAGUUUGCGAGAACAUUCGCAUGAUGGCGUCCGAAAGGAGCAGAUCUCAAAGACAGGACUGGUUCAGAGAGGUGCGGGAGCAGCUCCUACCAACGAAGCGCAUACUAGCACUUCAAGA
Molecule: non-coding RNA, 972 nt
Organism: Aegilops tauschii subsp. strangulata
Lineage: Eukaryota; Viridiplantae; Streptophyta; Magnoliopsida; Poales; Poaceae
Source: RefSeq, a predicted model, not a curated record